CUUUGCAUUGUUGAGGUCUCUUAUGAUGCUCAUUUGGUCCUUGCAGGGCAAUCUUUUACUGGCAGAAACUCCAAGGAAGUCAAAGGCCACUGUGAGGAGACUAGGGUGGAUGAAGUUGCAGUAUAACAAUAUCAUGCUCAGAAUAAUGAUACCUCUUUGUGUUUCAAUAGAAAGCAGAGGUUUUCAAAGGGAGGCAACUACAAAGAACAAGUACAAUCUCACCCAGCAAAUAGGUGUAUUGAAGCACAAGGUGGCUUUGUUUCUGGAGUCAGAUACUUUAUUGCUAUGCAUCAGUAGCUGGGCAGUAACAGAAGCAAAUGCCAUAUCUGAUAAACCUGAAAGUAGAUGGGUUAUUCUUAUUCCAGUUGAGAGGCCUGUCUUUUAUGAUGUUAAUGAUGCUCAGAGUGUUGAUAGAAAUGCAGAUAUAAUCAGGAGAAAACCAC
RNAcentral lists this long non-coding RNA (443 nucleotides) under Coturnix japonica (Japanese quail). RNAcentral describes it as "lncRNA (ENSCJPG00005020960.1)". Lineage: Eukaryota; Metazoa; Chordata; Aves; Galliformes; Phasianidae. The record is from RNAcentral.